Molecule: unclassified non-coding RNA, 209 nt
Filed under: soil metagenome
Description: partial contains 5.8S ribosomal RNA, internal transcribed spacer 2, and large subunit ribosomal RNA
Source: RNAcentral
AACCAUUCUCACCUGCGGCUAGACCUGCGGAAGGAUCAUUACCGAGUUUACAACUCCCAAACCCCUGUGAACAUACCUAUACGUUGCCUCGGCGGAUCAGCCCGCGCCCCGUAAAAAGGGACGGCCCGCCCGAGGACCCCUAAACUCUGUUUUUAGUGGAACUUCUGAGUAAAACAAACAAAUAAAUCAAAACUUUUAGCAACGGAUCU